Molecule: non-coding RNA, 205 nt
Filed under: Streptomyces bungoensis
Lineage: Bacteria; Bacillati; Actinomycetota; Actinomycetes; Kitasatosporales; Streptomycetaceae
Source: RNAcentral
CUACGGUGGGCACGCCGUGGUGUUCGGGAAGCCGGUGACGGCCCCUCAGGGGUCCAUGCCGGCGCGGCCCUCGCCACUGUGAUCGGGGAGUUCACGUCCCGUCCGGCUUCCGCCGGGCCACUGGCCGUUCGUACGGCUGGGAAGGCAGAGACGGCGAACGCACCGCCCCGUAAGCCAGGAGACCGGCCACGGCAGCUCACGAGAU